This 468-nucleotide ribosomal RNA is filed under the name uncultured bacterium. RNAcentral describes it as "partial 16S ribosomal RNA". It matches the Rfam family "Bacterial small subunit ribosomal RNA", at positions 28 to 507 of the family's 1533-position model. The record is from RNAcentral.
GACGAACGCUGGCGGCGUGCUUAACACAUGCAAGUCGAACGGAAAGGCGCUGCUUUUGCGGGGUGCUCGAGUGGCGAACGGGUGAGUAACACGUGAGUAACCUGCCCUUGACUUUGGGAUAAAUUCAGGAAACUGGGGCUAAUACCGGAUAGGAGCUCCUGCUGCGUGGUGGGGGAUGGAAAGUGUCGGCUGUUGGGGCUGGACUAGAGGCUUACGAGCUGGUUGGGGGGGUAGGGGCUUACCAAGGCUGUGACGGAUAGGCCGCCUGGGAGCUUGAACGGCCACCAUGCGACUACGGUACGGCCCAGACUCCUACGUGACGCAGCAGUCGGGAAUAUUGCACAAUGGGGGCACGUCUGAUGCAGCAACGCUCCGUGCGUGAUGCCGUCCUUCGGGUUGUAAACCUCUUUGGCCGGUGCCGAAGCCUGAUUGACGGUACUGGGUAAGGAAGCACCGGCUAACUACGUG